This 505-nucleotide ribosomal RNA is filed under the name uncultured bacterium. RNAcentral describes it as "partial 16S ribosomal RNA". It matches the Rfam family "Bacterial small subunit ribosomal RNA", at positions 899 to 1397 of the family's 1533-position model. The record is from RNAcentral.
ACUCAAAUGAAUAGACGGGGGCUCACACAAGCGGUGGAGCAUGUGGCUUAAUUCGAAGCAACGCGAAGAACCUUAUCCUGGGCUUGACAUGCACGGAUUAGCUCCUGGAAACAGGAGUGACGCGGCUUGCCGUGGAACGUGCACAGGUGCUGCAUGGCUGUCGUCAGCUCGUGCUGUGAAGUGUCGGGUUAAGUCCCUUAACGAGCGCAACCCUUGUCGCUAGUUGCCAGCGGUUCGGCCGGGGACUCUAGCGAGACUGCCGGUGUCAAACCGGAGGAAGGUGGGGACGACGUCAAGUCCGCAUGGCCUUUAUGCCCAGGGCUGCACACGUGCUACAAUGGCCGGUACAGAACGACGCAAUACCGCGAGGUGGAGCAAAUCGCAAAAGCCGGCCCCAGUUCGGAUUGCAGGCUGCAACUCGUCUGCAUGAAGUUGGAAUCGCUAGUAAUCGCGGAUCAGCUACGCCGCGGUGAAUACGUUCCUGAGCCUUGUACACACCGCCCGU